GGGGAUUUAGCUCAGUGGUAGAGCGCUUGCCCAGCAAGCACAAGGCCCUGGGUUCGAUCCUCAGCUCCA
Molecule: transfer RNA, 69 nt
Filed under: Rattus norvegicus (Norway rat)
Lineage: Eukaryota; Metazoa; Chordata; Mammalia; Rodentia; Muridae
Rfam family: tRNA
About the family: Transfer RNA (tRNA) molecules are approximately 80 nucleotides in length.
Source: Rfam by way of RNAcentral